GAUGAACGCUGGCGGCGUGCCUAAUACAUGCAAGUCGAGCGAACGGACGAGAAGCUUGCUUCUCUGAUGUUAGCGGCGGACGGGUGAGUAACACGUGGAUAACCUACCUAUAAGACUGGGAUAACUUCGGGAAACCGGAGCUAAUACCGGAUAAUAUUUUGAACCGCAUGGUUCAAAAGUGAAAGACGGUCUUGCUGUCACUUAUAGAUGGAUCCGCGCUGCAUUAGCUAGUUGGUAAGGUAACGGCUUACCAAGGCAACGAUGCAUAGUCGACCUGAGAGGGUGAUCGGCCACACUGGAACUGAGACACGGUCCAGACUCCUACGGGAGGCAGCAGUAGGGAAUCUUCCGCAAUGGGCGAAAGCCUGACGGAGCAACGCCGCGUGAGUGAUGAAGGUCUUCGGAUCGUAAAACUCUGUUAUUAGGGAAGAACAUAUGUGUAAGUAACUGUGCACAUCUUGACGGUACCUAAUCAGAAAGCCACGGCUAACUACGUGCCAGCAGCCGCGGUAAUACGUAGGUGGCAAGCGUUAUCCGGAAUUAUUGGGCGUAAAGCGCGCGUAGGCGGUUUUUUAAGUCUGAUGUGAAAGCCCACGGCUCAACCGUGGAGGGUCAUUGGAAACUGGAAAACUUGAGUGCAGAAGAGGAAAGUGGAAUUCCAUGUGUAGCGGUGAAAUGCGCAGAGAUGUGGAGGAACACCAGUGGCGAAGGCGACUUUCUGGUCUGUAACUGACGCUGAUGUGCGAAAGCGUGGGGAUCAAACAGGAUUAGAUACCCUGGUAGUCCACGCCGUAAACGAUGAGUGCUAAGUGUUAGGGGGUUUCCGCCCCUUAGUGCUGCAGCUAACGCAUUAAGCACUCCGCCUGGGGAGUACGACCGCAAGGUUGAAACUCAAAGGAAUUGACGGGGACCCGCACAAGCGGUGGAGCAUGUGGUUUAAUUCGAAGCAACGCGAAGAACCUUACCAAAUCUUGACAUCCUUUGACAACUCUAGAGAUAGAGCCUUCCCCUUCGGGGGGGCAAAGUGACAGGUGGUGCAUGGUUGUCGUCAGCUCGUGUCGUGAGAUGUUGGGUUAAGUCCCGCAACGAGCGCAACCCUUAAGCUUAGUUGCCAUCAUUAAGUUGGGCACUCUAAGUUGACUGCCGGUGACAAACCGGAGGAAGGUGGGGAUGACGUCAAAUCAUCAUGCCCCUUAUGAUUUGGGCUACACACGUGCUACAAUGGACAAUACAAAGGGCAGCGAAACCGCGAGGUCAAGCAAAUCCCAUAAAGUUGUUCUCAGUUCGGAUUGUAGUCUGCAACUCGACUACAUGAAGCUGGAAUCGCUAGUAAUCGUAGAUCAGCAUGCUACGGUGAAUACGUUCCCGGGUCU
This 1373-nucleotide ribosomal RNA is filed under the name uncultured bacterium. RNAcentral's name for it is "bacterial SSU rRNA". It matches the Rfam family "Bacterial small subunit ribosomal RNA", at positions 28 to 1381 of the family's 1533-position model. The record is from RNAcentral.